AGAUAAAGAGUGGCAAGAGCUCAACCUUGUGGAUUCCCAAGGCACCUCAAGAGAUUCAAGGAUGCCAUAAAAGCCUAAGCUUGGGGAUGCCCCGGGAAGGCAUCCCCUCUCUCAUCUUCAAUCCAUCGGUAACGUUUCUUGGGGCUAUAUUUUUAUUCACCAUAUGUUAUGUGUUUUUGCUUGGAGCGUCUUGUAUCGUAGGAGUCUUUUAUUUUUGUUGUUGUGUCACAAUCAUCCUUACUGCACACCUAGAGAGAUAUACAUGCACACACCGUGAUUUUGUCG
This 285-nucleotide long non-coding RNA is filed under the name Hordeum vulgare. Its description in RNAcentral is "long non-coding RNA (HVUL_LNC005369)". Lineage: Eukaryota; Viridiplantae; Streptophyta; Magnoliopsida; Poales; Poaceae. The record is from RNAcentral.